GAUCACCUUCGAGGUCUGAGGGUGAGGCGGGGCCGCCCCUUGGCGCCAACUCCCCCGGGGGGAGUAGGAGCUAUGUCCCGUCCGAACUCCUAUCAGCUGCCUGACAGUGGCUUUGGGGAACCCUGCAUCUACUAGGAGUACCAGUGGUUUGGCAAGAAUACUGUGCACAUGGUCAGCUCCCUGAGGGGUGUGAUCCCUGAGGACCAUGAGAAGGAGGCAGAAAUAUCUCAGUGUCACCAGGACAAGAACAGAUUCACAGACUGUUUUGAAAUAGGAGUACACAGCUGAGCACAAGGUGCUGGAACUCUCCAAAUUUGACUCAGGAUGCAGAAACACUGCCUUAAUGUGAACAAGAAAGUUCCUCAGGAGGUGAAUAGGAAUUGAAUUCUUCAAAUUCUUGUGGAUGUGCUCACAGGAAUGACGUAUGUUUGAAACUCAUAAUUAGAUAAAAUUGAGAGACUUGGGAUGAGUUUGAAAAAAUACAUUUGUCUCAUAGAAACAACGUUUCAUUAAUGUUUGAUUGGAAUUCUUGAAGUUGAUAAUGUUUGAAGAGGUGAGUGAUAGACCUGGAUCAAAGUAAAUAUUAUAAUUUAAGACAUUACACAGUCUACCUUUUUAAAUUGAAAGAUUUAUCCCUCUCUUUG
Callithrix jacchus (white-tufted-ear marmoset) is the source of this 644-nucleotide long non-coding RNA. RefSeq lists it as uncharacterized. The record is from RefSeq and is a predicted model, not a curated record. Lineage: Eukaryota; Metazoa; Chordata; Mammalia; Primates; Cebidae.